AGGUUACACCCUUACCAGCAGCUGUCUGAAUGACGGAUAGAUCUGAUAUGUCGUUGAUAAAUGAUGGUUCUUAAGCGGGCCUAUCAGAACAACUUUCGGCCAACUGUUGCAGCCAUCAGGCCUCUAAACUAUUAAAUUACUGGACCCUUUGUCGGCGAGCUCUACGAUUCAACUGAUGGGGACUUAGUGUCAAAAGGAAAUUGGUUUUGUAAUUAAAAUCAACGAAAGCUACUGUUCAAAUUUUAAAUAUAUGACUCUACAAGAUUAGUGGUA
Dendroctonus ponderosae (mountain pine beetle) is the source of this 273-nucleotide long non-coding RNA. RefSeq lists it as uncharacterized. NCBI's taxonomy places the organism in Eukaryota, Metazoa, Arthropoda, Insecta, Coleoptera, Curculionidae. The transcript is spliced from 2 exons. The record is from RefSeq and is a predicted model, not a curated record.